CAGCCGCCGCGGUAAUACAGAGGGUGCGAGCGUUAAUCGGAUUUACUGGGCGUAAAGCGUGCGUAGGCGGCUUUUUAAGUCGGAUGUGAAAUCCCUGAGCUUAACUUAGGAAUUGCAUUCGAUACUGGGAAGCUAGAGUAUGGGAGAGGAUGGUAGAAUUCCAGGUGUAGCGGUGAAAUGCGUAGAGAUCUGGAGGAAUACCGAUGGCGAAGGCAGCCAUCUGGCAUAAUACUGACGCUGAGGUACGAAAGCAUGGGGAGCAAACAGGAUUAGAUACCCCGGUAGUCCCUGUCUCUUAUAC
This 301-nucleotide ribosomal RNA is filed under the name uncultured bacterium. RNAcentral's name for it is "partial 16S ribosomal RNA". It matches the Rfam family "Bacterial small subunit ribosomal RNA", at positions 509 to 807 of the family's 1533-position model. The record is from RNAcentral.